GGCCAGACUCCUACGGGAGGCAGCAGUGGGGGAUAUUGCACAAUGGGGGAAACCCUGAUGCAGCGACGCCGCGUGGGCGAAGAAGUAUUUCGGUAUGUAAAGCCCUAUCAGCAGGGAAGAAGAAAUGACGGUACCUGAGUAAGAAGCCCCGGCUAACUACGUGCCAGCAGCCGCGGUAAUACGUAGGGGGCAAGCGUUAUCCGGAUUUACUGGGUGUAAAGGGAGCGUAGACGGCGAUGCAAGUCUGAAGUGAAAGGCGGGGGCCCAACCCCUGGACUGCUUUGGGAACUGUACGGCUGGAGUGCAGGAGAGGUAAGUGGAAUUCCUAGUGUAGCGGUGAAAUGCGUAGAUAUUAGGAGGAACACCAGUGGCGAAGGCGGCUUACUGGACUGUAACUGACGUUGAGGCUCGAAAGCGUGGGGAGCAAACAGGAUUAGAUACCCGUGUA
RNAcentral lists this ribosomal RNA (448 nucleotides) under uncultured bacterium. Its description in RNAcentral is "bacterial SSU rRNA". It matches the Rfam family "Bacterial small subunit ribosomal RNA", at positions 329 to 792 of the family's 1533-position model. The record is from RNAcentral.